ACGCGUAGGUCUUACGGCCGACCUCCCAAACCCCUGUGAACAUACCUAUCGUUGCUUCGGCGGGAUGCCCCAGUUUGACGCAAGCUGGACCCAGGCGCCCGCCGGAGGACCCAAACUCUUGUUUUAUUUAUGUAUCUUCUGAGUAAACAAGCAAAUAAAUUA
RNAcentral lists this unclassified non-coding RNA (162 nucleotides) under soil metagenome. RNAcentral describes it as "partial internal transcribed spacer 1". The record is from RNAcentral.